Pangasianodon hypophthalmus (striped catfish) is the source of this 1284-nucleotide long non-coding RNA. RefSeq lists it as uncharacterized. The transcript has 3 exons. NCBI's taxonomy places the organism in Eukaryota, Metazoa, Chordata, Actinopteri, Siluriformes, Pangasiidae. The record is from RefSeq and is a predicted model, not a curated record.
CCAGGGGCAACUCCAUGUUCACAGAAGAAUAGGAAGAAGAGGAAGAGGAGCAAGGAUGCGUGGUGGUGGUGUACUGAGUGGAAGAAAGCAGUCUAGAGGAAGAGGCAGAAGCGUACAAAGACAUGGAGCUGUCCCAGCUGGAGCCCCGAGCCUUUGAAUGUUGAUGGCGGAGGAAUCAGUGGAUACCAUGGAUAAGAGCUCAGGAGGAGGGGCAAGAAAGAUGGAGUGGAGAAGCAGAUGAGAGGGCGGGGUGGAGGAGAAGUAAAAGAUGAGAGGGCAUGCUCACAAUACAGUACAGAGAGGCUGGAACAGGCAGAGCACUCAGUCUUCAGAGAUACUGACCAUGAUAACAUACUGCAGCUCAUCAAGGAGUGCUUUCUAACAGGAAGUGCUGAGUAACAGGUCACACCACACUGGCACUUUUACUGCCACUGACGACAUCAGAGUGCAACUCCAGGACAGGAUGUGACUGAAUAUGCGGCAAACUUAGUCAGGGAGAUUUCUGGGGCCGAUGAGUGUGUGUGUGUGUGUGUGUGUGCACGUGAUGGGCAGAGCUGUGGUGCAGGACUACAGGGCACACAAGCUUAUUAUUGUCUCCUGAACCCGCUUGCUUGAUCAAAGGGAGAGCGAGCUACCUCACACUGACUCAGUCUGACACACACACGCACGCACACACACACACACACAGUGUUCCAUUUCAGCCUGUAUUACACCAUCUGCUGACUAUUGAUUAUGAUUCUUGCUGAUUAAUUCUCUAAUGCUUCUGGAGUGAUUUAAGGUUUUUUCCGGAGAUGGGAGUUACAGCACUGCUUGCCUUUUGAAAGUGUUUCAUUAGUUGAUUAAAGGAACAGUCUGCCCAAAGUUAAAGUCCCAGUCAGCAAUAACCAGAACAGCAGACAUUCCAGGAUCAAGUCCAGCACUGCGUUCCAUAACUGUCUUGAACAAGUGCUCAUUAAUGUUCCCACCUCUGUACGCGCAUAGUUGAGUACCAGCUGUCAUAUAAGUGGCCACUGGCAGCACUGAGAGUGGAAUCAUUAACAUUUCUGUAAUAUUAAAUAUUUUAUUAUGCAUGAAUGCAUUCGUAAAUAGAUACUACUACUAGAUUCACAAAUCUUUCUAAUGUUAUGAUGAGUUGAUCUGUGGAUUAACUGACCACUUUUUCUUACUUGUGUUCAUAAGGAAACAUCUAUAACAUGUAACACACUAAAGUCUUCUUGGUAUAAAAUAAACGAGUAUGCACAAUUUUGCACAAUUAAAUUGUACAGUUUUGCAGCUGUAGUCCUA